RNAcentral lists this transfer RNA (78 nucleotides) under Fucus vesiculosus. Its description in RNAcentral is "transfer RNA-Thr(tgt)". It matches the Rfam family "tRNA". Rfam says of the family: Transfer RNA (tRNA) molecules are approximately 80 nucleotides in length. Their secondary structure includes four short double-helical elements and three loops (D, anti-codon, and T loops). Lineage: Eukaryota; Phaeophyceae; Fucales; Fucaceae. The record is from RNAcentral.
AGCUGGUGUAGCUCAAUUGGUAGAGCAACUGAUUUGUAAUCAGUAGGUUGAAGGUUCAAGUCCUUUCACCAGCUAUUC